RNAcentral lists this ribosomal RNA (405 nucleotides) under uncultured bacterium. RNAcentral's name for it is "partial 16S ribosomal RNA". It matches the Rfam family "Bacterial small subunit ribosomal RNA", at positions 30 to 526 of the family's 1533-position model. The record is from RNAcentral.
AUUGAACGCUGGCGGCAGGCUUAACACAUGCAAGUCGAACGAGUGGCGGACGGGUGAGUAAUGCUUGGGAAUCUAGCUUAUGGAGGGGGAUAACUACGGGAAACUGUAGCUAAUACCGCGUACCCUAGGAUGAGCCCAAGUGGGAUUAGGUAGUUGGUGAGGUAAAGGCUCACCAAGGCGACGAUCUCUAGCUGGUCUGAGAGGAUGACCAGACACACUUGAACUGAGACACGUCCAAGACUCCUACGGGAGGCAGCAGUGGGGAAUAUUGCUCAAUCGGGGCAACCUGACGCAGCCAUGCCGCGUGAAUGAAGAAGUCCUUCGGGUUGUAAAGUUCUUUCGGUAGCGAGGCGUUAACUACAGAAGAAGCACCGGCUAACUCCGUGCCAGCCGCCGCGGUAAUUC